AUGACGCGCGGCAAGGUCGAGAUGAGGCUCGUCGAGAGCGCGCGCGGGCGCGCCGCCACGUGCGGCAGGAGGACCAAGGGGCUCCAGAACAAGGCCAGGGAGCUCGCCACGCUGUGCGCCGUCCCGGUCGCGCUCGUCUGCCUCGCCGCCGGCGCCGGGGCCCCGCCGCUCGUGUGGGAGUCGGAGGAGGGCGUCCUCGAGAGGUACCGCCGCGCCGUCCCGCCGGAGGUCCGCGCGCAGCACACGCACCGGGGCUACCUUGAGGCGGAGCUGGGCAAGGAGCGGGCCAAGCUCGCCAGGGUGCGCCACGGCUGCCCCGCCGCGCUCGCGGACUGGGACCCGGCGCUCAACGACGUGACGCUGGACCAGGCGCGGGAGCUGCUCGAGGCGAUCGACGCCGCGCUGCGGGCCGCGGGAGACAGGAUGGAGGCUCUGGGCGUACCCGCCGACGGCGGCCACGGCCGGAUCGACGAGCAGAUCGCGCCGGAUGCUUCUGACGACGCCGUCAUGCCGCAGCAGCUCGCGCAAGGUGGCGGCGUGCCGUGCACCGGAAGCAACCCCGUGGACCUGGACAUGGAUGCCGCCGGCUUCGAGUUGCAGAUGGUGCCGUGGCACGGCGGGAACAACGACGGCCUACUCGGGGAAGAUCGCUUCCAGAUGCAACCAGGGUGCGGCUUCCAGUGCAUCGGCGGCGGCAACUACUCGGGCGCCGUCGACGAGACGCUCGCGCUAGGCUCCGGCAAUGCUGGUUACGACUGGACUGAUCUGACCAUGUGGCACACCGGCGAGUUGCGCGAUGCAGUCCUGCCACUUGGGAACUACCCUGCCUUCGCCGACUGUACUCCGGCGCCUGAGUACUCCGCCCAGGUCGUCGCCGGCGGGGACUACAUGAAGACACUGCCAACUGGAUACGGGUACCCCAUGGCCAUGGGCGUCGGCAACAACUUCACUCUGGGAAGCAACUACACGGCGCGUUGGCAGGUCGAGGAGUCCCAUCGCUCCGGCACAAGCACAAUGUCAGCUGCACCAUCGCCUCAGUGUUCGGAUCCCGGGACACGGAGCUCCGGCCAAGUCUUCCAUUAUCUCCACUAG
RNAcentral lists this ribosomal RNA (1092 nucleotides) under Triticum aestivum (bread wheat). Its description in RNAcentral is "partial small subunit ribosomal RNA". Lineage: Eukaryota; Viridiplantae; Streptophyta; Magnoliopsida; Poales; Poaceae. The record is from RNAcentral.